This 474-nucleotide ribosomal RNA is filed under the name Pinnularia borealis complex sp. RNAcentral describes it as "partial 28S ribosomal RNA". It matches the Rfam family "Eukaryotic large subunit ribosomal RNA", at positions 82 to 566 of the family's 3401-position model. Lineage: Eukaryota; Bacillariophyta; Bacillariophyceae; Sellaphorales; Pinnulariaceae. The record is from RNAcentral.
AGUAAGGGCGACUGAAAUGUCAAGAGCUCAGCAUGUGAAUCAGCGCUUGCCUCUUUGUAAGCGCUGAAUUGUGGUCUUGCGACUUUUGCGCUCAUUUCAGGGCAGACCAUGUUUUUUGGAAUAAAAUAGCACAGAGGGUGAAACUCCCGUGUGUCUGCCCUUGCGAAGCAAAUUGUCACUGAGUCGAGUUGUUUGGGAUUGCAGCUCAAAUUGUACGGUGGUAAAUUCCAUCUCAAGCUAAAUAUUGGUGGGGGACCGAUAGCGAACAAGUACCGUGAGGGAAAGAUGCAAAGAACUUUGAAAAGAGAGUGAAAGAGUACCUGAAAUUGCUGAAAAGGAAGCGAACGAAGCUAGUGAACGCUGCGUCAUACUUUCCAACUUGCUUGCAAUUUGGACGCUGUGGCCAGCCCUGUUGGGCUUGAUUGCGGCAGGUGAAAACAGGUCAAGAAAAGAUUCCAUUUUCUCUCGCCAUAU